This 73-nucleotide transfer RNA is filed under the name Canis lupus familiaris (dog). It matches the Rfam family "tRNA". From Rfam's summary of the family: Transfer RNA (tRNA) molecules are approximately 80 nucleotides in length. RNAcentral also lists the same sequence under 1 other name. The record is from Rfam by way of RNAcentral. Lineage: Eukaryota; Metazoa; Chordata; Mammalia; Carnivora; Canidae.
GCCUGGCUGGCUUAGUCAGGGGAGCAUGCGACUCUUGAUCUUGGGGUCAUGGGUUCGAGCCCCAUGCUGGGUG